Molecule: ribosomal RNA, 497 nt
Filed under: uncultured bacterium
Lineage: Bacteria
Description: partial 16S ribosomal RNA
Rfam family: Bacterial small subunit ribosomal RNA
Source: RNAcentral
GAUGAACGCUGGCGGCGUGCCUAAUACAUGCAAGUCGAGCGAACAGACGAGGAGCUUGCUCCUCUGACGUUAGCGGCGGACGGGUGUGUAACACGUGGAUAACCUACCUGUAAGACUGGGAUAACUUCGGGAAACCGGCGCUAAUACCGGAUAAUAUAUUGAACCGCAUGGUUCAAUAGUGAAAGACGGUUUUGCUGUCACUUAUAGAUGGAUCCGCGCCGCAUUAGCUAGUUGGUAAGGUCACGGCUUACCAAGGCAACGAUGCGUAGCCGACCGGAGAGACUGGUCGGCCACACUGGAGCGGAGACACGGUCCAGACUCCUACGGGAGGCAGCAGUAGGGAAUCGUCCGCAAUGGGCGAAAGCCUGACGGAACGACGCCGCGUGAGUGAUGAAGGUCUUCGGAUCGUAAAACUCUGUUAUGAGGGAAGAACAAAUGUGUAAGUAACUAUGCACGUCUUGACGGUACCUAAUCAGAAAGCCACGGCUAACUACGUG